RNAcentral lists this ribosomal RNA (2495 nucleotides) under human gut metagenome. RNAcentral describes it as "bacterial LSU rRNA". It matches the Rfam family "Bacterial large subunit ribosomal RNA", at positions 14 to 2547 of the family's 2925-position model. The record is from RNAcentral.
AGAGCGCAGGGUGGAUGCCUUGGCACUAAGAGCCGAUGAAAGACGUGAUAAGCUGCGAUAAGCUUCGGGGAGGAGCAAAUAUCCUUUGAUCCGGAGAUUUCUGAAUGGGGAAACCCGACAGAGCAAACCUCUGUCAUCCAUACGCCAAUCCAUAACGUAUGGAAGGGAACCCGGGGAACUGAAACAUCUAAGUACCCGGAGGAAAAGAAAGAAAACUCGAUUUCCUGAGUAGCGGCGAGCGAAAGGGAAAGAGCCUAAACCGUCAUGCGUGCAUGACGGGGUUAAGGACCGCAGAAUGUGACCAGACGAAUAACAGAAUGGUUUUGGGAAAGCCAACCAAAGAGGGUGAAAGUCCCGUAUGUGAAAUUCCGAAGGAGCAAGCGAGAUCCAGAGUACCACGAGACACGUGGAACCUUGUGGGAAGUAAGGGGGACCACCCCCUAAGGCUAAAUACUACUUAGUGACCGAUAGCGCAUAGUACUGUGAAGGAACGGUGAAAAGAACCCCGGGAGGGGAGUGAAAGAGAACCUGAAACCCUGUGUUUACAAGCUGUGGAACCUCGUUAAAGAGGAACCGCGUACUUUUUGUAGAACGGUCCGGCGAGUUACGCUGGCUGGCAAGGUUAAGCACUACAGGUGUGGAGCCGGAGGGAAACCAAGUCUGAAUAGGGCGAAAGUCAGUCAGAGUAGACCCGAAACCGGGUGAUCUAUCCAUGUCCAGGUUGAAGUUGCCGUAAAAGGCAAUGGAGGACCGAACGCACAUCCGUUGAAAAGGGUGGCGAUGAGGUGUGGAUAGGGGAGAAAUUCCAAUCGAACCCGGAGAUAGCUGGUUCUCCUCGAAAUAGCUUUAGGGCUAGCCUUGAUGUAAGUCUAACGGAGGUAGAGCACUGAAUUUCCUAGGGGGCGUCAAAGCCUACCGAAGAAUAUCAAACUCCGAAUGCCGUAUAGAUAUCGUCAGGAGUCAGACUACACGAGAUAAGUUGGGUAGUCAAAAGGGAAAGAGCCCAGACCUCCAGCUAAGGUCCCAAAGUGCGUGUUAAGUGGAAAAGGAUGUGGGAUUUCAAAGACAACUAGGAUGUUGGCUUAGAAGCAGCCAUACAUUCAAAGAGUGCGUAAUAGCUCACUAGUCGAGAGGUCCUGCGCCGAAAAUGUCCGGGGCUAAAACACGACACCGAAGCUGAGGAAUCCAAACGGAUUGGUAGAGGAGCAUUGAAAACGCGAAGAAGCAGUACCGGAAGGAGCUGUGGAGUGUUUUGAAGAGAGAAUGCCGGAAUGAGUAGCGAGAGGAAGGUGAGAAUCCUUCCGACCGAAUAUCUAAGGUUUCCAGAGUAAAGCUGAUCUGCUCUGGGUAAGUCGGGACCUAAGGCGAGGACGAAAGUCGUAGCCGAUGGACAACAGGUUGAAAUUCCUGUACUACGUUUUAUCAGAACUGUGGGGACACAGAGGGAAAGCACAGGCGCAGAAUGGAAAGCUGCGUACAAGCGAGGUACCCGUGCGAUAGGCAAAUCCGUCGCACAAGGGGAAUACGUGAUGUGGAUCGAAAUAAAGUAGAGAAGUGUGUGAGCCAGCUGUCAAGAAAAGCCGCUAUUGUGUAAAACGUACCCGUACCGUAAACCGACACAGGUGGAUGAGGAGAGAAUCCUAAGGUCGACGGAAGAAGCAUUGUUAAGGAACUCGGCAAAAUGACCCCGUAACUUCGGGAGAAGGGGUGCCACAGAGAUGUGGUCGCAGAGAAUAGGCUCAAGCAACUGUUUAGCAAAAACACAGGUCUAUGCAAAACCGAAAGGUGAAGUAUAUGGGCUGACGCCUGCCCGGUGCUGGAAGGUUAAGGGGAGAUGUUAGAGCAAUCGAAGCAUUGAACUUAAGCCCCAGUAAACGGCGGCCGUAACUAUAACGGUCCUAAGGUAGCGAAAUUCCUUGUCGGGUAAGUUCCGACCCGCACGAAAGGCGAAAUGAUUUGAGCGCUGUCUCGACAAUGCAUCCGGUGAAAUUGAAGUACCAGUGAAGAUGCUGGUUACCUGCGCCAGGACGGAAAGACCCCAUGGAGCUUUACUCCAGCUUGAUACUGGGAUUCGGUAUUGCAUGUACAGGAUAGGUGGGAGACGAAGAAAAGGAAACGCCAGUUUUCUUGGAGUCACUGUUGGGAUACCACCCUUGCAGUAUUGGAUUUCUAACUUGCCGCCGUGAACCGGCGGGAGGACAAUGUCAGGUGGGGAGUUUGACUGGGGCGGUCGCCUCCGAAAGGGUAUCGGAGGCGCUCAAAGGUUCCCUCAGAAUGGUUGGAAACCAUUCGAAGAGUGCAAAGGCAGAAGGGAGCUUGACUGCGACACCGACGGGUGGAGCAGGUACGAAAGUAGGACUUAGUGAUCCGGUGGUAUAAAGUGGGAUUGCCAUCGCUCAACGGAUAAAAGCUACCCUGGGGAUAACAGGCUUAUCACUCCCAAGAGUUCACAUCGACGGAGUGGUUUGGCACCUCGAUGUCGGCUCAUCGCAUCC